RNAcentral lists this ribosomal RNA (253 nucleotides) under uncultured bacterium. Its description in RNAcentral is "partial 16S ribosomal RNA". It matches the Rfam family "Bacterial small subunit ribosomal RNA", at positions 524 to 776 of the family's 1533-position model. The record is from RNAcentral.
UACGGAGGGGGCUAGCGUUGUUCGGAAUUACUGGGCGUAAAGCGCACGUAGGCGGCUUUGUAAGUUAGAGGUGAAAGCCCAGGGCUUAACCCUGGAAUUGCCUUUAAGACUGCAUCGCUAGAAUCGUGGAGAGGUGAGUGAAAUUCCGAGUGUAGAGGUGAAAUUCGUAGAUAUUCGGAAGAACACCAGUGGCGAAGGCGACUCACUGGACACGUAUUGACGCUGAGGUGCGAAAGCGUGGGGAGCAAACAGG